Long non-coding RNA from Drosophila gunungcola (fruit fly), 310 nucleotides. RefSeq lists it as uncharacterized. The transcript is spliced from 2 exons. The record is from RefSeq and is a predicted model, not a curated record. NCBI's taxonomy places the organism in Eukaryota, Metazoa, Arthropoda, Insecta, Diptera, Drosophilidae.
GCGACAACGACACAAUAAUUUACACCCAGCUGAACAACUUGUUGGUUUUAUUCUAAUGCAAUUAGCAGGCAGCAAAAAGGAAAACGCAAAACCUGCAAUUGAAGAAGACAUACGGAAGCCGCACUGUAUAACCCGUUUAAGGCCGUGGGCGUUUUCAUUAAGUCCCACCGAGUGCCAACAGGUGGAUUCGAAUGGCGUGGAGUGGAUGUUGCCUUUUGGAGCCCGACUGGCUGCCGGAUUUAAUGGAGCUUGGACUCUGCUCUGAUGUAAUGACAAUAUGCAUUUUUUUAUGAAUAACAAUCAAUUCUGA